UAGGUCCAGAACCGUUGGUGGGAUUCAAGUAAUUUAACAACCGGUUCUCUGCCCUAAUGAUUUCUUCCAACAACCAGUUUGCCCAACUGCUCAGAAAGUUAACAACCGGUUCUCCCGAAGUGGUGCGAACUGGCUGAAUCCCACCACUGUCCAGAGCCAAGAUCUAACAUUCACAAGAAGCUCAUGAAGAAACCUGGUUUGCUAACGAAGUCUACCAAGAAUAAGGAGGCACUUGCAAGACUCUCUUAUUAUAGCCCAUUUCAAUGAAAAGCAAUUUUCGCUUUCUGGCGGAGCUGAUUUCCUGGUUAGGUUGACCCAGUACACCCACACAGCUCAGUAAAGCUCUACGCUGGAUUUCAAGACCAUCGCCGUUCCAAAGCUGUUCCAGAUUACCGAGGACAGAAGUCUAAAACAUCUGGAUGGGCUGAGAGAAAAGUGACUGGUCCAAGAUCACCCAGCUGGCUUCGUGCCGAGACUGGACUAGAACUCACAGUCUCCCAGUGUUUGGCCUGAUGCCUUCACCACACAACAAACUGUCUCUUCUUAGCAGAUUUUUGCUGACACCAGGCUACGAGUUCUUCCCCGGGCAGACCUCAAAUAAUGGUUCUUUUUAAUGGCUGGUGGGGUCCUUCUGAAGCCCUCAGCCCUCGCAGACAACGAGGAACAAGAAGCUUGGGAAGAGGACAGAAAGGUGUGCCCAACUUCCAAAUAAAAACAUUAAACCCAAUAAAUUGUUCUCUAAACAGCGAUGCGUUCACUGUACCUGCGUAGGCAAGCAGGAGAAAGGAAAAAGAUACCCUGGGUGGUGUUUUAACGUAUUUUUUUAAUAAGACAAAAAUGAACGCUUCCAGAGUUUUACUGCAGGAGUGGUAUAGCAGAAAAGGAAGAGAAAGAAGAUUCACAGAACUUGUAUCGGCACAAAAGAGACCUACAAGUUUUUCUUGCCUAACUUCCCCUGCACCUCGCACAAAAUACAGCAACCGAAGAGUAUAACACACCUGCUGCAACCACAUUCUAACAGCAGAGCUACAAUCAUCUUCCCCUGCACCGUUCGCAGCUGUGUGUUGGUAUGGGGGAAGGGGGGGGGAGGGAAGCCUUUUCUCCCCCCUGUAAAUCCAAACUGUCACUCUGAAAUUCUAUCACCGAUUUUCACAUCUUCUGUCAAGAUGGCUGCUUCUGAAGUAGAGCUGUGUGCAACAAAUGAGACAGAAGCGUGUGGGGUGGUUUUUUUUUUUGCAAACUAUAGAAAGAGUCAA
Molecule: long non-coding RNA, 1256 nt
Organism: Ahaetulla prasina
Lineage: Eukaryota; Metazoa; Chordata; Lepidosauria; Squamata; Colubridae
Exons: 3
Source: RefSeq, a predicted model, not a curated record